RNAcentral lists this ribosomal RNA (464 nucleotides) under uncultured bacterium. RNAcentral's name for it is "partial 16S ribosomal RNA". It matches the Rfam family "Bacterial small subunit ribosomal RNA", at positions 338 to 795 of the family's 1533-position model. The record is from RNAcentral.
CCUACGGGAGGCAGCAGUAGGGAAUUUUCGGCAAUGGGGGGAACCCUGACCGAGCAACGCCGCGUGAAGGAAGAAGGAAUUCGGUCUGUAAACUUCUGUUAUAAAGGAAGAAAGACGGAUGGAGGAAAUGACAGCCGAGUGACGGUACUUUAUGAGAAAGCCACGGCUAACUACGUGCCAGCAGCAGCGGUAAUACGUAGGUGGCAAGCGUUAUCCGGAAUAAUUGGGCGAAAAGAGGGAGCAGGCGGCACCUAAGGUCUGUGGUGAAAGACUGAACCUAAACUUCAGUAGGCCAUAGAAACCGGGCAACUAGAGUGCAGAAGAGGAGCGUGGAAUUCCAUGUGUAGCGGUGAAAUGCGUAGAUAUAUGGAGGAACACCAGUGGCGAAGGCGACGAUCUGGCCUGCAACUGACGCUCAGUCCCGAAAGCGUGGGGAGCAAAUAGGAUUAGAUACCCUUGUAGUC